UUGGAGGGCAAGUCUGGUGCCAGCAGCCGCGGUAAUUCCAGCUCCAAUAGCGUAUAUUAAAGUUGUUGCAGUUAAAAAGCUCGUAGUUGAACCUCGGGGUCUACCCAUUGGUCAGGCUUAAUUGUCUGCACUGGUGAGAUGGAUCUCUACCUUCUGAGGAACUUUCAUGCCAUUUAUUUGGUGUGAUGGGAAAUCAGGACUGUUACUUUGAAAAAAUUAGAGUGUUUAAAGCAGACUAUCGUCUGAAUACAUUAGCAUGGAAUAAUGAAAUAGGACGGACUGAUUCUAUUUCGUUGGUUUCUAGGUUCACCGUAAUGAUUAAUAGGGAUAGUUGGGGGCAUUAGUAUUCAAUUGUCAGAGGUGAAAUUCUUGGACUUAUUGAAGACUAACUACUGCGAAAGCAUUUGCCAAGGAUGUUUUCAUUAAUCAAGAACGAAAGUUAGGGGAUCGAAGACGAUCAGAUACCGUCGUAGUCUUAACCAUAAACUAUGCCGACUAGGGAUCGGACGAAGUUAAUUUUAUAAUGACGCGUUCGGCGCCUUACGGGAAAC
RNAcentral lists this ribosomal RNA (551 nucleotides) under uncultured Diversispora. RNAcentral describes it as "SSU rRNA". It matches the Rfam family "Eukaryotic small subunit ribosomal RNA", at positions 548 to 1098 of the family's 1831-position model. The record is from RNAcentral. Lineage: Eukaryota; Fungi; Glomeromycota; Glomeromycetes; Diversisporales; Diversisporaceae.